This 244-nucleotide long non-coding RNA is filed under the name Physcomitrium patens. Its description in RNAcentral is "long non-coding RNA (PPAT_LNC009383)". The record is from RNAcentral. Lineage: Eukaryota; Viridiplantae; Streptophyta; Bryopsida; Funariales; Funariaceae.
AGAUAUAGCUCAAGAUACAACCUCUAGUAAAUCGGGUCACUUACUACCCUUAGAUUGAAUGCAUUGACUUCAAGUUCCAAUAACUCCUUCAUCCCAAUAUGGAAUCCAACAAGCAGUAUUUGAAAAGUAUAGCCGCAAAAGUACUCUCUCUAGUUGCAGUUGCCGAUCCUCAAUUGCUAUCUGUAUGCGUGCGUAAUGCCAAAAAGAGUGACAGUAGCUUCCAAAUCAACACCUUAACUUUGAG